RNAcentral lists this transfer RNA (69 nucleotides) under Pediculus schaeffi. RNAcentral describes it as "tRNA-His". Lineage: Eukaryota; Metazoa; Arthropoda; Insecta; Psocodea; Pediculidae. The record is from RNAcentral.
GAAAGAGUAGUUUACAAUUAAAACAUUACUUUGUGGAAGUAAAAACAGAUAUUAUAUAUCUAUCUUUAU